Molecule: non-coding RNA, 28 nt
Filed under: Bombyx mori (domestic silkworm)
Lineage: Eukaryota; Metazoa; Arthropoda; Insecta; Lepidoptera; Bombycidae
Source: RNAcentral
UGAUCUUUCGUGGAAAACUCAUAUUGAU